This 531-nucleotide ribosomal RNA is filed under the name uncultured bacterium. RNAcentral describes it as "partial 16S ribosomal RNA". It matches the Rfam family "Bacterial small subunit ribosomal RNA", at positions 355 to 878 of the family's 1533-position model. The record is from RNAcentral.
UGGGGAAUUUUGGACAAUGGGCGAAANCCUGAUCCAGCAAUGCCGCGUGUGUGAAGAAGGCCUUCGGGUUGUAAAGCACUUUUGUCCGGAAAGAAAUCCUUGGCUCUAAUACAGUCGGGGGAUGACGGUACCGGAAGAAUAAGCACCGGCUAACUACGUGCCAGCAGCCGCGGUAAUACGUAGGGUGCAAGCGUUAAUCGGAAUUACUGGGCGUAAAGCGUGCGCAGGCGGUUUGCUAAGACCGAUGUGAAAUCCCCGGGCUCAACCUGGGAACUGCAUUGGGUGACUGGCAGGCUAGAGUAUGGCAGAGGGGGGUAGAAUUCCACGUGUAGCAGUGAAAUGCGUAGAGAUGUGGAGGAAUACCGAUGGCGAAGGCAGCCCCCUGGGCCAAUACUGACGCUCAUGCACGAAAGCGUGGGGAGCAAACAGGAUUAGAUACCCUGGUAGUCCACGCCCUAAACGAUGUCAACUAGUUGUUGGGGAUUCAUUUCCUUAGUAACGUAGCUAACGCGUGAAGUUGACCGCCUGGGG